GAAAUGAUUCAACCUCAAGUAAAAUCCGCAAGAAUGGCUCUUCAUUAAAAUAAUCUCUGCGGACAAAAAUAAACUGCAGCUUGCAGGCCAAAGCCUCACUUGCAGUUCCAUAUCCAAUUUUCCUAUAGGGUAGUGAGAGUAAGGCCCUGUUCAGAUGGGACUAAAACUUUUAAGUCCCUAUCACAUCGGAUGUUUGAAUAUUAAUUAUAAAUAUUAAACGUAGACUAUUAAUAAAACUCAUCCAUAAUCUUGGACUAAUUCGCGAGACGAAUCUAUUGAGCCUAACUAAUCCAUGAUUAGACUAUGUGAUGCUACAGUAAACAUUCUCUAAUUAUAGAUUAAUUAGGCUUAAAAAAAUUGUCUCGUGAAUUAGCUUUUAUUUAUGUAAUUAGUUUUGUAAGUAGUCUAUAUUUAAUACUCUAAAUUAGUGUCUAAAGACAGGGACUAAAGUUAAGUCCCUGGAUCAAACACCACCUAAGCAGCGCGUACAAAAAAUACAGCGUGAUACAUCACGAAGCACAAAAUAGCACCAAACUAUAUGUAGCUGAAGCAUCGGCACAUUAUCAACCCCCUGCAGGAUUGCUCCUAUGCAAAAUGAACCCAAGAUUUCACAUAAAAAACAUGAUAUAUUGUCUUAGAGAAAAUAAAGUACCUG
This 655-nucleotide long non-coding RNA is filed under the name Oryza sativa (Asian cultivated rice). Its description in RNAcentral is "long non-coding RNA (OSAT_LNC000519)". Lineage: Eukaryota; Viridiplantae; Streptophyta; Magnoliopsida; Poales; Poaceae. The record is from RNAcentral.